CAUGCAUGCUCUCCUACACAAAGCAAAGCAUGGUCGUUUGCAAAUUGCAGAUCAUGUUUCGGAAAUAGGUAUCGGUAGAGUUAAUUUCCGCGGGCCACCUCGUCGGCGUUAAGAUUUUCGUAUCGGAGAUAAGAGGAGUGAGGGAGGGAGACUUGGUGACCGAUAAGCUGGCUAAAUAAUAAGUUGAAGCGAACAGGUCGGGAGGGAGGGAGAGGGCUCCCGUCGCUGGAGAUCGAUGGGCUCCUCUGAUUCUUGUGCGGGAGAGGAGGAGAGACAAAUUGUGGGGAGGAAAGAAUCUGAGAAACAUCGCUGUGUGUCAUCCCAACCCGCCGCCGUUUAGCCGGAACUCCACAUGGGUAGCAAAGGAAAUGAGCAGCAGGAAUACUGUUUUGCCGAAGAACUACUGAGGGAAGAAAUAUUGUCAAAGACAUAACUGAACCCAAAGAAAUGCAGGAUCUGUAUGGCUAUACCUGAGCUCUCUAACAUCAAUAUACUGAGCACGAAGGAUCUCCGAUUUCUGCCUUCUAAGCCUGUUCGGUGCAGUCCUCGUUUGACCAUCUGCGAGGCAAAGUAGAUAAGUAGAUUGCAUCAGCAUACAGAACGACAAGCCAAUCUCAGAACUUUAAUCGAGCAGGUCUCUGUUGAAUAAUGUACGUGCGCUAGGGAAGAUUUCUGAGUGAAACAAAGCAAACACUGAAAGUCAUUUGUGUUCAUGCUCA
Molecule: long non-coding RNA, 719 nt
Organism: Setaria italica (foxtail millet)
Lineage: Eukaryota; Viridiplantae; Streptophyta; Magnoliopsida; Poales; Poaceae
Exons: 2
Source: RefSeq, a predicted model, not a curated record